GGAGAGGUGACCGAGUUUGGCCGAAGGUGCGCGCCUGCUAAGCGCGUGUGGGUCGAAAGACUCACCCAGGGUUCAAAUCCCUGCCUCUCCGCCC
This 94-nucleotide transfer RNA is filed under the name bacterium. Its description in RNAcentral is "tRNA-Ser". It matches the Rfam family "tRNA". Rfam says of the family: Transfer RNA (tRNA) molecules are approximately 80 nucleotides in length. Their secondary structure includes four short double-helical elements and three loops (D, anti-codon, and T loops). Further hydrogen bonds mediate the characteristic L-shaped molecular structure. tRNAs have two regions of fundamental functional importance: the anti-codon, which is responsible for specific mRNA codon recognition, and the 3' end, to which the tRNAs corresponding amino acid is attached (by aminoacyl-tRNA synthetases). tRNAs cope with the degeneracy of the genetic code in two manners: having more than one tRNA (with a specific anti-codon) for a particular amino acid; and 'wobble' base-pairing, i.e. permitting non-standard base-pairing at the 3rd anti-codon position. The record is from RNAcentral.